Molecule: ribosomal RNA, 471 nt
Filed under: uncultured bacterium
Lineage: Bacteria
Description: partial 16S ribosomal RNA
Rfam family: Bacterial small subunit ribosomal RNA
Source: RNAcentral
GACGAACGCUGGCGGCGUGCUUAACACAUGCAAGUCGAACGCUGAAGCUUGGUGCUUGCACUGGGUGGAUGAGUGGCGAACGGGUGAGUAUACGUGAGUAACCUGCCCUUGACUCUGGGAUAAGCCUGGGAAACUGGGUCUAAUACUGGAUACGACAUGCCACUGCAUGGUGGUGUGUGGAAAGGGUUUUACUGGUUUUGGAUGGGCUCACGGCCUAUCAGCUUGUUGGUGGGGUAAUGGCCUACCAAGGCGACGACGGGUAGCCGGCCUGAGAGGGUGACCGGCCACACUGGGACUGAGACACGGCCCAGACUCCUACGGGAGGCAGCAGUGGGGAAUAUUGCACAAUGGGCGGAAGCCUGAUGCAGCGACGCCGCGUGAGGGAUGACGGCCUUCGGGUUGUAAACCUCUUUCAGCACGGAAGAAGCGAGAGUGACGGUACGUGCAGAAGAAGCGCCGGCUAACUACGUG